This 925-nucleotide ribosomal RNA is filed under the name uncultured bacterium. Its description in RNAcentral is "bacterial SSU rRNA". It matches the Rfam family "Bacterial small subunit ribosomal RNA", at positions 33 to 947 of the family's 1533-position model. The record is from RNAcentral.
ACGCUGGCGGCAUGCUUUACACAUGCAAGUCGGACGGCAGCACAGAGAAGCUUGCUUCUUGGGUGGCGAGUGGCGAACGGGUGAGUAACAUAUCGGAACGUACCGAGCAGUGGGGGAUAACUAAUCGAAAGAUUAGCUAAUACCGCAUAUAUUCUGAGGAAGAAAGCAGGGGACCAUUUGGCCUUGCGCUGUUUGAGCGGCCGAUAUCUGAUUAGCUAGUUGGUGGGGUAAAGGCCUACCAAGGCGACGAUCAGUAGCGGGUCUGAGAGGAUGAUCCGCCACACUGGGACUGAGACACGGCCCAGACUCCUACGGGAGGCAGCAGUGGGGAAUUUUGGACAAUGGGCGCAAGCCUGAUCCAGCCAUGCCGCGUGUCUGAAGAAGGCCUUCGGGUUGUAAAGGACUUUUGUCAGGGAAGAAAAGGGCGGGGUUAAUACCCCUGUCUGAUGACGGUACCUGAAGAAUAAGCACCGGCUAACUACGUGCCAGCAGCCGCGGUAAUACGUAGGGUGCGAGCGUUAAUCGGUAUUACUGGGCGUAAAGCGGGCGCAGACGGUUACUUAAGCAGGAUGUGAAAUCCCCGGGCUCAACCUGGGAACUGCGUUCUGAACUGGGUGACUAGAGUGUGUCAGAGGGAGGUAGAAUUCCACGUGUAGCAGUGAAAUGCGUAGAGAUGUGGAGGAAUACCGAUGGCGAAGGCAGCCUCCUGGGAUAACACUGACGUUCAUGCCCGAAAGCGUGGGUAGCAAACAGGAUUAGAUACCCUGGUAGUCCACGCCCUAAACGAUGUCGAUUAGCUGUUGGGCAGCAUGACUGCUUAGUAGCGAAGCUAACGCGUGAAAUCGACCGCCUGGGGAGUACGGUCGCAAGAUUAAAACUCAAAGGAAUUGACGGGGACCCGCACAAGCGGUGGAUGAUGUGGAUU